This 253-nucleotide ribosomal RNA is filed under the name uncultured bacterium. RNAcentral describes it as "partial 16S ribosomal RNA". It matches the Rfam family "Bacterial small subunit ribosomal RNA", at positions 524 to 776 of the family's 1533-position model. The record is from RNAcentral.
UACGUAGGGUGCGAGCGUUAAUCGGAAUUACUGGGCGUAAAGUGUGCGCAGGUGGCCGCGCAAGUCGAGUGUGAAAUCCCCGAGCUUAACUUGGGAAUUGCGCUCGAAACUACGUGGCUCGAGUGUGGCAGAGGAAGGUGGAAUUCCGAGUGUAGAGGUGAAAUUCGUAGAUAUUCGGAAGAACACCAGUGGCGAAGGCGGCUCACUGGACUGGUAUUGACGCUGAGGUGCGAAAGCGUGGGGAGCAAACAGG